AUUGAACGCUGGCGGCAGGCCUAACACAUGCAAGUCGAACGGAAGAAGGGAGCUUGCUCGUGGUUUCCGCGGGGGACGGGUGUGUAAUGCAUGGGAAUAUGCCUGGUUGUGGGGGAGGAUGUCUGGAAGCGGGCGGUAAUACUGCAUAAGUGCUGAGGGAGAAGGAGGGGGGGGUUCGGAACUUAUGCUAUGAGGGGAGUGGAGGUGGGGUUAGCUAGUUGGUGGGGUAGGGGGCUACCAAGGCGACGAUCCGUAACUGGUCUGAGAGGAUGAUCAGUCACACUAGAACUGAGACACGGUCCAGACUCCUACGGGAGGCAGCAGUGGGGAAUAUUGGACAAUGGGCGAAAGCCUGAUCCAGCCAUCCCGCGUGUGUGAAGAAGGUCUUUGGAUUGUAAAGCACUUUAAGUUGGGAGGAAGGGCAGUAAGUUAAUACCUUGCUGUUUUGACGUUACCAACAGAAUAAGCACCGGCUAACUUCGUG
This 484-nucleotide ribosomal RNA is filed under the name uncultured bacterium. RNAcentral's name for it is "partial 16S ribosomal RNA". It matches the Rfam family "Bacterial small subunit ribosomal RNA", at positions 30 to 507 of the family's 1533-position model. The record is from RNAcentral.